CCUACGUGCGGCAGCAGUGAGGAAUAUUGGUCAAUGGCCGCAAGGCUGAACCAGCCAAGUAGCGUGAGGGAAGACUGUCCUAUGGGUUGUAAACCUCUUUUAUCCGGGAGCAAAGGGCUCCACGUGUGGCUGUUUGCGAGUACCUGAUGAAUAAGCAUCGGCUAACUCCGUGCCAGCAGCCGCGGUAAUACGGAGGAUGCGAGCGUUAUCCGGAUUUAUUGGGUUUAAAGGGUGCGAGGGCGGACUUUAAAGUCAGCGGUAAAAUUUGGGGGUUCAACCAGGGAGUGCCGUGCAAACUGGAGUUCUUGAGUGCGCGAGAGGUAUGCGGAAUGCGUGGUGUAGCGGUGAAAUGCAUAGAUAUCACGAAGAACUCCGAUUGCGAAGGCAGCAUGCCGGAGCUCAACUGACGCUGAUGCUCGAAAGCGUGGGUAUCGAACAGGAUUAGAUACCCGUGUAGUC
This 459-nucleotide ribosomal RNA is filed under the name uncultured bacterium. RNAcentral's name for it is "partial 16S ribosomal RNA". It matches the Rfam family "Bacterial small subunit ribosomal RNA", at positions 338 to 795 of the family's 1533-position model. The record is from RNAcentral.